Molecule: long non-coding RNA, 2079 nt
Filed under: Phoenix dactylifera (date palm)
Lineage: Eukaryota; Viridiplantae; Streptophyta; Magnoliopsida; Arecales; Arecaceae
Description: long non-coding RNA (PDAC_LNC011902)
Source: RNAcentral
UAAAUAUGAGAUGAAAUAAAAUAUUCAUUAGAAGCAAAAUAAGGUUUAUACAACUCCAAGAAUAGAAAUCAAAAAUAUAAAACCCUUGGCCCUUUGCUAGGACUACAUCCAGCCCUAGAGAGAAGAUCAGCCUUCCAUGGAGAGUUGAACGGCAGCAGCAGCACAGCAGCAGGCUCCCAUUUCUAUCACGAUCGGCUUCCUCUGCCUCAACACUUCAUUUUUUUCUUUCUUUUGAGAAGACAUUCCCAAAAAGACCCAAACUCUUCUCUCUCAACCUAUUUCCUCUUCUUCCGUGGGAACUUCACCUGUGAACCCGAGCUCUUCUUCUCCCGGUGGGAACUUGGCCUGUGAGGAGAUUUGGGAGAAGCCUCCCCCCCAGUGGGGGAAGAGGAGGAAUGGAAGAGAAUGCCUCUAGCCUUCAUCAUCGACUCCCUUUUAUAGCCUUCUCCAUCUUCUGUUAGCAUCCGGAGGAUAAACUUCCCGAGUGAAAGGAUGAGGAUGGAGGAACGGCUUCUGUUUCACGGCAGCGGGCGACGCGUAGAAGAUUUGAUUCGAGCGAAGAGGCAGAUGGUUGGGGAGCUUGAUCCGCGGACUGUUGCAGUUCUGAUCCGUUGAAGGGAUUUUGCUGGGAUGAAUCAAGGGGAGUUUGGAUUCGGCGGAGAUUGGUUCCAAAACAGGGGAAGAUUGUGACAGACAUAGACGAUGGAAUCAAUCCUAACGGCUGGAAUGCUGCGGACGUGGAGCAGAGAAUAUGAUGCGUGGAACCAUCCGUUGAUAGGCUGGGAGAUGAUCCGAAAGAAGGGGUCUUGAAUCACGGAUAGUUAUUUCCUUUGUUUCGGAACAGGGGAAAAGGAUGCAAGGGAUUUGUUCCGAAGAGGAGAUAAGGAUGGAAUGAUGGAUUUGAAUGGGAUUGGCUGCAGAUGUUUGGGAUUAAUCCGGGAGUUUGGAUGAAGCUCACGGCUGAAAACGGAUUCUGUUUUGAGGAUGCUGGGAUGAUUCGGAUGAAGAUAAAAUGAGCUGGGAACAGGGGAUAGCGGGGAUGCAUGAUUGAAUGGAUCCUGAGUUUGGUUGGCGAUGAAGACGGGAUGCUACACGUAACAGGGGAUUUGAGCUCAUCCGUGGAUGCUGGAACUGGGUGCUUGAAUGAUAUUCACGGUUGAGAGGGGAUAAGAAUGAAUCGUGGAGAGGACGCAUGAGGUGCUGGGAGCUGGAAUUCCGUUCGUGGGAUAUUCGGAAGGAUGCGGAUGAGAUCCUGGUUCUGUUUCCGUGGCUGGGGUUGUUUGGAUGAAGCCCACAGCUGAGAAGAGAUGAGGCUUUGGGAUGUGGCUGUAGGCUUUUGAGAAGAUCUCGGAUGGUUGUUCUUUGGAUGCGGAAGAAGUUGAUCGAUGCUUGGGACUCGGCUUGAUUUGAACGGGUGAAGAAAUCAGGGAAGAGAAGUUGGGAGGAUCAACAGAGAACAGAUAGUCGGGAUGAGUGUUAUUACAAACGGGAAACAGGGGAAUAUUGGUUGCUUGAUUCGAACGGGAGAAGAGAAGAUCACAACGGGAUGAAGCUUGGAGUUGGUUGGGAGAUAGGAUAAGGAUGGAACGAUGUGGAGGAAACCUGGGAGAAGGUGACGUGGAGAAUAAAAAAGAUUUUAGUUGGAGAUGAUAUCAUGAGACAUGAGGUCGGCUGAGAAGUCUUGGGAUGACCCUGUUCUUUGGACAUGGAACAGGGGAGAUUGGGAAUGCUUAGAAGACAUUAUGACGUGGUGGAAGAAUAGGGAGAUGAUGUGUAAGAUUUGAUGUGGAUGGCUUGUACAUGGAAUUUUAGGAAGACUUUGAAUAGCUAAUCGUAGAUGUGAUAAUGAUCAGAUAGUACAACGUAACGAAAGUUUGAACUCGAUUGGAUGCGAAAGAAACAGGGAAGUGGGGCUGGACCAAGGUGCAUGUCAUUCGGGUUCAGGGAUCAUCCGAAAAAGUUUGACUCGACCUGCAUAUAUUAGAUUCGACCUGCAUACAUUAGGCUCAAUUAAUAAAUAACUAAAUCAAACUCGAAUUAAUUUAUGCAAUGAUGAGGGUAACACAUUUUUUUAGUUNN